This 301-nucleotide ribosomal RNA is filed under the name uncultured bacterium. RNAcentral describes it as "partial 16S ribosomal RNA". It matches the Rfam family "Bacterial small subunit ribosomal RNA", at positions 509 to 809 of the family's 1533-position model. The record is from RNAcentral.
CAGUCGCCACGGUAAUACGAAGGGUGCAAGCGUUACUCGGAAUUACUGGGCGUAAAGCGUGCGCAGGCGGUUAUAUAAGACAGAUGUGAAAUCCCCGGGCUCAACCUGGGAACUGCAUUUGUGACUGUAUAGCUAGAGUACGGCAGAGGGGGAUGGAAUUCCGCGUGUAGCAGUGAAAUGCGUAGAUAUGCGGAGGAACACCGAUGGCGAAGGCAAUCCCCUGGGCCUGUACUGACGCUCAUGCACGAAAGCGUGGGGAGCAAACAGGAUUAGAUACCCGCGUAGUCCCUGUCUCUUAUAU